UGGACAGGUAGAGGGACACAUCCUAUGACAGGGCUGCUAUAAGAUGGACAGGUAGAGGGACACAUCCUAUGACAGGGCUGCUAUAAGAUGGACAGGUAGAGGGACACAUCCUAUGACAGGGGUGCUAUAAGGUGGACAGGUAGAAGGACACAUCCUGUGACAGGG
Molecule: long non-coding RNA, 165 nt
Organism: Pelobates fuscus (common spadefoot toad)
Lineage: Eukaryota; Metazoa; Chordata; Amphibia; Anura; Pelobatidae
Exons: 3
Source: RefSeq, a predicted model, not a curated record